RNAcentral lists this long non-coding RNA (869 nucleotides) under Phasianus colchicus (ring-necked pheasant). RNAcentral's name for it is "lncRNA (ENSPCLG00000021304.1)". The record is from RNAcentral. Lineage: Eukaryota; Metazoa; Chordata; Aves; Galliformes; Phasianidae.
AUUGCAGGAAUUCCACAAGCAGGGCUGCCCAACCCCUCUACUCGCCCCUCGGCUCCGUGCCGCUUCCCGCCCGGCGGCUCUGAGGUGCCGCCGCGAGGCGUCCCGCGCCUGGGCGCGAGGCUGAGGCGCCGCUGUGUGAGGAGCUAUCCGCCGUGUCCGGGAUGCUGUGCUGAAGCACGGCUGCAGACAGUGCUCCUUAUGGGUGCACAGAAAAAUCAACUCCUUAAUCUGGCCCAGGUCUGUGUGAGCGCUUACGUGGUACUAUUGAGAAGAAGGAACAAGAAGAUGAAUGAGGCAGGACUGCAUCUUUAAUGCACUAAUUUUUGUGUUACUUCAUUGACAACUGCAGUGAAAUGAAAUGCAUCUUAAGGAUGACUAGUGGACUAACUUACUGUGGGGAAGGAUCAGUGGAAAAUUCUUGUCUACUCUAUAUUGUUUUCUGAUUUUGAAGUAUUUUAAUGGAAUCAAUGCAAAAUGUAAACGUGAAGAUCAUUUCUUACUUUCAUUCACUACAAAAGACACAGCUGCCACACGCUAGUCUGUCAGUGGAUUAAGUGUAACAUACUGCAUCUAUGAAACACAGAGAAAAUCAAGUUCCUAAAAGUCCCUGACAGUCAGAGUGCUAUGUAUUUCAGGUGUUCAAUGACUGUGUGAAUAAGUAUGGAGUAUGGAGAGUAUGAGUGUGGGAUCAGGGAAAAGGGUUCUUAGAGCCUACCACCUCUUCUGAGUAGAAAAAGGAAGACCUACUUUUUAAGUUAACCUCCUCUCUAUAUACCUGUAUGUACUUUCUAUAUACCUGUAUAUAACUCUCUAUAUAUGCUCUCUCUCUGAGUCUUUCCUCUACCCUGCAAGUGACCCAUCUGUUUUCC